AUACGGAGGAUGCAAGCGUUAUCCGGAUUUAUUAGGUUUAAAGGGUGUGUAGGCGGUAUUUUAAGUCAGUGGUGAAAUCUCGGAGCUUAACUUCGAAACUGCCAUUGAUACUGAAAUACUUGAGUAUAGUUGAGGUAGGCGGAAUAUGUAAUGUAGCGGUGAAAUGCAUAGAUAUUACAUAGAACACCGAUUGCGAAGGCAGCUUACUAAACUAUUACUGACGCCGGUGCACGAAAGCGUGGGGAGCGAACAGGAUUAGAAACCCUAGUAGUCC
Molecule: ribosomal RNA, 274 nt
Filed under: uncultured bacterium
Lineage: Bacteria
Description: partial 16S ribosomal RNA
Rfam family: Bacterial small subunit ribosomal RNA
Source: RNAcentral